Non-coding RNA from Paramisgurnus dabryanus, 1355 nucleotides. The record is from RefSeq and is a predicted model, not a curated record. Lineage: Eukaryota; Metazoa; Chordata; Actinopteri; Cypriniformes; Cobitidae.
GCCGAUCGUCGCGAAAUUCAAAUCUGUGGACUAGGUGUUUGUUUGUUUGCUGAACAGUACGAGGUCAUGUACCAUGUGAUGCUGAAGAGGUUUCUGGGUAAAGAUGAUAGAAAUAUAAUAGUGUAACAGUGAAAGCUAAAACAUCAGACUGAUCCAGACACUGAAGAAAUUGGUGUGACUGCAAUCUGGCCAAAAUGAUACAACUAUAAUGAAGUAAUCUACUGUGAUGAAGCUGCAGAACGACACAGAAACUCUGAGGACAUCAACACAGAAUAUCAAGACUCCCAAAGAGAUGUCUGUCCAGAUGAGGGUGCAUCAACAUUACCUUUGCUGACAAGUAUAUGCUUUAGAAAUGUUUGAAUAAUUCCAGGACAGAGCUGUGCAUUUGAAUCUAGAGCCCUAUUCGACGGGAUUAGUUUUACAGGGGGACCUCUGAGAAAAUCGUGCUUCUCAGCGGUCCUCUGUGGUUUUAAUCCCGUUCGAAUCGGGCAUGUCUGUGUUUUGAUGACCUCCGUAAAAAUUCCAGAGCAAUUUACCUACUGUUUUCCGCCAAACUCAGAGGUCAUCUGAGAAAUUUAAUCCCGUCCGUAUGCAAAUGUCUGUGUUUGCCCGCAAUAUCUUUUGAAAACGCGGUUCUUGUUGUCUUUUGGCCAAAGUAAUCUGCCGUAAGGUCUACAGAGUAUAUAUAUUGUACUUCCUGAGUCCCCCCUGAGUCCCAUUCAUUCAGAUAUGGAUGUUUUUUCCCCAUUCGGCGAAAUAAAAUAAUUAAAUCAGGACGAGCUGAAUAUCAAACACUGUUAAGACUGGCCACUGUAAUAUCGUUAACUUUUGAGGUAAACUCAAACUUAUUUUGUCCAACUCCAGAAUGGAAAUGUUAAAUAAUAAAGAUAAUAAAUUGUUAUUAAUCAUUAUUUCUUCAAAUCGUUGGGUUUAUUAUAAGCAGCCAGUUAUAUAAAACAUGUAGGCUACUUUAGUAUGAUUUGUAAAAGUUAUUUUGAUUUGUUAAAAUUUUUCAAGCAAAAUAUUAAACCUUACAAACAAGCAUAUCUAGAGCACGUGCUCUUCUGCAAUGCCCAAACACAUGAAAAGGACACUCCCAUCUCUAGAAUAGCCUGAGAAUUUUAAUCCCGUUCGAAUCGGUACAUUAAAUCACAGACGUCGUGGGGGACAUGUUGAAACUCAAACGUUGUUUGGAAAACUAAUCCCAUCCGAAAAGUGCUUUGAACUGAUUUCUUAAAGUAAGAUCAAUGUAGUUGUUCAUUUUAUUUAGAUCAUUUACUACAUAACAUUGUUCUGCUUUGAAUGUAGUUUUCAUUGUUGCUUUUAUUUUGUUUAUUUUAUUUGCUCAUAUUCUA